CUACGGGGGGCAGCAGUGAGGAAUAUUGCACAAUGGGGGGAACCCUGAUGCAGCAACGCCGCGUGGAGGAUGACGCAUUUCGGUGUGUAAACUCCUUUUAUAUGUCAAGAAAAUGACGGUAGCAUAUGAAUAAGCACCGGCUAACUCCGUGCCAGCAGCCGCGGUAAUACGGAGGGUGCAAGCGUUACUCGGAAUCACUGGGCGUAGGGGACGCGUAGGCGGGUUGGAAAGUCAGGUGUGAAAUCCUACAGCUUAACUGUAGAACUGCACUUGAAACUUCUAAUCUAGAGUAUGGGAGGGGGAGAUGGAAUUAGUGGUGUAGGGGUAAAAUCCGUAGAUAUCACUAGGAAUACCUAAAGCGAAGGCGAUCUCCUGGAACAUUACUGACGCUAAGGCGUGAAAGCGUGGGGAGCAAACAGGAUUAGAUACCCGCGUAGUC
Molecule: ribosomal RNA, 439 nt
Filed under: uncultured bacterium
Lineage: Bacteria
Description: partial 16S ribosomal RNA
Rfam family: Bacterial small subunit ribosomal RNA
Source: RNAcentral